GGAUUGUAGCUCAGUGGUAGAGCACUUGCCUAGCAUGGGCAGGACCCGAGUUCGAUCCUCAGCACCA
This 67-nucleotide transfer RNA is filed under the name Marmota monax (woodchuck). RNAcentral describes it as "tRNA.Ala". Lineage: Eukaryota; Metazoa; Chordata; Mammalia; Rodentia; Sciuridae. The record is from RNAcentral.